Molecule: long non-coding RNA, 669 nt
Filed under: Pseudonaja textilis
Lineage: Eukaryota; Metazoa; Chordata; Lepidosauria; Squamata; Elapidae
Description: lncRNA (ENSPTXG00000016126.1)
Source: RNAcentral
CUCACGUGGGAGAGAUGGUGCCUCUCCCAACUAAGCUCUGCAAAUUAAACCAGGCAGUGCAGGCUGUUGAGGCAUAUCUCCCAUACCCAAGAUCCACCCAGCCAGCCUAUCUGUCUACCCCUCCCGCAUGACUGGUGGGCAGGGCUGCCUCCAGCCAGAAUGCUCCUCGCUCCCCUUGAUCAGGGCAGAUUCAAGCACACAGACCAGAAACUGCAGCAUGUCACAGAGUCCCAGCCAGCCAGAAGUCCCUGCAAAAGGACAAGGCACUCCAGAUGCUCCCCCAGAGGAGCCCCCCUGUGCUGAACUGAAAGCCAACUUUGAAAAAUGCGUUAAAGAGAAGGGAGAAGAGGCAUGCAAGGAACUGCUGGAGACAUAUCAUUCCUGCUUGCGGGCACUGGGCAUAGCUCACCCGAAUCUAAAAAACGGUCCCUAGCUUCCAAAUCACUGGGACCCCCAGCCAGCCUGUUUCCUUUCCUGUAGGGACUCCAGAAUGCUCAACGAACAGAAAGCUCAGCACUAAUGUACCAUUCUCAGCAGGCACCACAGAAAGAGUUCCCAGCUUCAAUAAAGCCCCUCCAUUUUAUUCUGACUGGACAUGUUAAAUUACUAAAUCAUUGCUCUUUAUUCAGUUGGAAGUUUUCUGGUUUUCCAUAAAUGGCAUAAUGUUCC